GAAUACCAGUGGCGAAGGCGGCCUUCUGGCCUGACACUGACGCUGAGGUGCGAAAGCGUGGGUAGCAAACAGGAUUAGAUACCCUGGUAGUCCACGCCGUAAACGAUGUCGACUAGCCGUUGGGUCCCUUGAGGACUUAGUGGCGCAGUUAACGCGAUAAGUCGACCGCCUGGGGAGUACGGCCGCAAGGUUAAAACUCAAAUGAAUUGACGGGGGCCCGCACAAGCGGUGGAGCAUGUGGUUUAAUUCGAUGCAACGCGAAGAACCUUACCUACCCUUGACAUCCUGCGAACCCGGAAGAGAUUCCGGGGUGCCUUCGGGAGCGCAGAGACAGGUGCUGCAUGGCUGUCGUCAGCUCGUGUUGUGAAAUGUUGGGUUAAGUCCCGUAACGAGCGCAACCCUUGUCCCUAUUUGCCAGCGAUUCGGUCGGGAACUCUAGGGAGACUGCCGGUGACAAACCGGAGGAAGGUGGGGACGACGUCAAGUCAUCAUGGCCCUUACGGGUAGGGCUACACACGUGCUACAAUGGUCGGUACAAAGGGUUGCGAAAGCGCGAGCUGAAGCUAAUCCCGAAAAGCCGGCCUCAGUCCGGAUCGGAGUCUGCAACUCGACUCCGUGAAGUCGGAAUCGCUAGUAAUCGUGCAUCAGAAUGGCACGGUGAAUA
Molecule: ribosomal RNA, 664 nt
Filed under: uncultured bacterium
Lineage: Bacteria
Description: bacterial SSU rRNA
Rfam family: Bacterial small subunit ribosomal RNA
Source: RNAcentral